UAUCUCCUGUCGCGUUCGACAGUGGAGUGGGUGUUCCUUGGACCUGUAAUUACCCCGGGGAUCGACUCGUGUACUGGUGUGCAUGUCCGCUUGCGGAAAGCCUGAAAUGCACGAUAGAUUCCCACUUGAACCAUUCGGUUCAAGGACGAUGCUUCGCAUCGGCGCAUACGGGAGAUAC
Molecule: non-coding RNA, 178 nt
Filed under: Methyloprofundus sp.
Lineage: Bacteria; Pseudomonadati; Pseudomonadota; Gammaproteobacteria; Methylococcales; Methylococcaceae
Description: 6S RNA
Rfam family: 6S / SsrS RNA
About the family: E. coli 6S RNA was the first non coding RNA to be sequenced, but its function was unknown until recently. It consists of 184 nucleotides that fold into an extended hairpin structure with a large single-stranded internal bulge. The 6S RNA specifically associates with RNA polymerase holoenzyme containing the sigma70 specificity factor.
Source: RNAcentral